RNAcentral lists this ribosomal RNA (505 nucleotides) under uncultured bacterium. Its description in RNAcentral is "partial 16S ribosomal RNA". It matches the Rfam family "Bacterial small subunit ribosomal RNA", at positions 28 to 507 of the family's 1533-position model. The record is from RNAcentral.
GACGAACGCUGGCGGCGUGCCUAAUAUAUGCAAGUAGAACGCACAGUUUAUACCGUAGCUUGCUACACCAUAGACUGUGAGUUGCGAACGGGUGAGUAACGCGUAGGUAACCUGCCUGGUAGCGGGGGAAAACUAUUGGAAACGAUAGCUAAUACCGCAUAAUAUUAAUUAUUGCAUGAUAAUUAAUUUAAAGGUGCAAUUGCACCUCUACCAGAUGGACCUGCGUUGUAUUAGCUAGUAGGUGAGGUAACGGCUCACCUAGGCAGCGAUACAUAGCCGAACUGUGAGGGUGAUCGGCGAGACUGGGACUGAGGAACGGCCCAGACUCCUACGCAAGGCAGCAGAAGGGAGUCUUCGGAAAUGGACGGAAGUCUGACCGAUCAACGCCGCGUGAGUGUAGGAGGUUUUCGGAUCGGAAAGCUCUGUUGUAAGAGAAGAACGGGUGUGAGAGUGGAAAGUUCACACUGUGACGAUAUCUAACCAGAAAGGGACGGCUAGCUACGUG